AAUUCUAUGCAUUAUACGAUUUUAAUUCUUUGCAAUUCUAUGCAUUAUACGAUUUUAAUUCUUUGCAAUUCUAUGCACUACGAUUUUUCAUUCUUUGCAAUUCUAUGCAUUAUACGAUUUUAAUUAUUUGCAGUUCUAUGCUCUUUGUGAUUUCAAUCCUUUGCAAAUCUAUGCACUACGAUUUUAAGUCAUUGCAAUGUGGUUUUAUUCUGUGCAAUAUAAUCUGAAAUAUGUACUCGGACAAUUGUGCGCUUUUGACUGAACAAUCCGGACAACGUGGCCACCAACGGGGGAGCGAGGACGCCGGCAUUGUUUGUCAAAUUCAGGACUGGCGCUGGGAGCUGUAGGUGGAGGGAAGACCAGGAGUGGUGCAGCUCUGCAGAUGCUGAAGGGGACUGAGGCGACGCAGUCGAAGGUCCCUGCGGUGGCGGUCAGCGGGAGGUGUCAAGACCAACCAGCUCCUCGUCCAGGAAAGGUGAAUUCAUCAGACCGAUUAAAGGUUCAAUAAAGUAAAUCUUAUCAUCUGAAAAAUCCAGGACACAGUAGCUGGGUUUAUCAGCAAAUUGUAGCUGGGCUUUUAGUCACCCAGAAUAAAAGUGGUACCGUAUCCCCAACGUCAUAAUGAUGUAACCUGUCAAACCCAACACUAACAUUUCGGGAAGCUUUCAGUGCAUCUUGACAAUGCCACUGUUAGAUACAUUUACACUUGGUUGGGGCCAUUGUAUAAAAUUAAUCCAUCGAUACCAUCUCAAAA
This is a long non-coding RNA of Gadus chalcogrammus (walleye pollock), 754 nucleotides long. RefSeq lists it as uncharacterized. NCBI's taxonomy places the organism in Eukaryota, Metazoa, Chordata, Actinopteri, Gadiformes, Gadidae. The transcript has 3 exons. The record is from RefSeq and is a predicted model, not a curated record.